This 464-nucleotide ribosomal RNA is filed under the name uncultured Hyphomicrobiales bacterium. RNAcentral's name for it is "bacterial SSU rRNA". It matches the Rfam family "Bacterial small subunit ribosomal RNA", at positions 8 to 507 of the family's 1533-position model. Lineage: Bacteria; Pseudomonadati; Pseudomonadota; Alphaproteobacteria; Hyphomicrobiales. The record is from RNAcentral.
AGAGUUUGAUCCUGGCUCAGAACGAACGCUGGCGGCAGGCUUAACACAUGCAAGUCGAACGCCCGAGCAAUCGGGAGUGGCAGACGGGUGAGUAACACGUGGGAACAUACCCUUCGGUUCGGAACAACGUUUGGAAACGGACGCUAAUACCGGAUACGCCCUGGCCGCGAGGCUUGGGGAAAGGCUUGACCGCCGAAGGAUUGGCCCGCGUUCGAUUAGCUUGAUGGCGGGGUAACGGCCCACCAUGGCGACGAUCGAUAGCUGGUCUGAGAGGAUGGCCAGCCACAUUGGGACUGAGACACGGCCCAAACUCCUACGGGAGGCAACAGUGGGGAAUAUUGGACAAUGGGCGCAAGCCUGAUCCAGCCAUGCCGCGUGAGUGAUGACGGCCUUAGGGUUGUAAAGCUCUUUCGCCCGCGACGAUAAUGACGGUAGCGGGAGAAGAAGCCCCGGCUAACUUCGUG